Molecule: ribosomal RNA, 287 nt
Filed under: Vibrio sp. OPT24
Lineage: Bacteria; Pseudomonadati; Pseudomonadota; Gammaproteobacteria; Vibrionales; Vibrionaceae
Description: partial 16S ribosomal RNA
Rfam family: Bacterial small subunit ribosomal RNA
Source: RNAcentral
AUUACUGGGCGUAAAGCGCAUGCAGGUGGUUCAUUAAGUCAGAUGUGAAAGCCCGGGGCUCAACCUCGGAACUGCAUUUGAAACUGGUGAACUAGAGUACUGUAGAGGGGGGUAGAAUUUCAGGUGUAGCGGUGAAAUGCGUAGAGAUCUGAAGGAAUACCAGUGGCGAAGGCGGCCCCCUGGACAGAUACUGACACUCAGAUGCGAAAGCGUGGGGAGCAAACAGGAUUAGAUACCCUGGUAGUCCACGCCGUAAACGAUGUCUACUUGGAGGUUGUGGCCUUGAG